Non-coding RNA from Pelobates cultripes (western spadefoot toad), 694 nucleotides. NCBI's taxonomy places the organism in Eukaryota, Metazoa, Chordata, Amphibia, Anura, Pelobatidae. The record is from the annotation of a GenBank genome assembly.
CAUAUACCUCUUGAAAUGUCCAUGUGGUAUGGCCUAUGUGGGUGAGACCACCCUGGCAUUUACAGUGAGGGUACAGGAACAUAAGAGUGGUAUCCACACACAGAAAUUGCAGCAUUCAGUGACUAGGUAUUUUGUGGAAGCUGCGGUACAUGAUUAUAGAGAAGGUACAUACUCCUUUGCGUGGUGGCUCACCUGAACUCCGAUUGUGGCAGAGAGAGCUCUUAUGAAUGUAUGAGUUACAGACGUUAUUCCCUAAGGGCCUCAAUGAGGACCAGGAUUUAUCAUCUUUUUUGUAGUUGUGAUUACCUUAGCCUGUGUAUAGUUUGUUUUUUAUUCUUGAUAAUAGGUGAUGCACUGGAAUGGUGAUGGCACUUGGAUGUUUAUUAUUUGCUCAUUGAGCAAAGAUCUGUUGUGGAUCCAAGAUUGGACUUUGGAGAUUGAAGAUGGAUGACUAGUUUUGUGGAGAUCUUGUUGGCCUAUGAUAAUUAUGGACUGGAUUUUGCUAAUGAUAAUGGAAUAUGUCAAAUCUGUUUAAGUGGGAAUUAAAAUAUUUCUAAACAUUUCUCUCUCAUAGUUAUGUGUUUGGACUGUUUAUGAUGUUAAGAUUAUGCUUAACCUAUCUUAUACAGUGUCCGAAUAUCCGAAUUGCAGACAUUUGGCCGAAUAUAAAUUUGGAUCGAAACGAAUUGUAUAU